This 764-nucleotide ribosomal RNA is filed under the name Microbacterium maritypicum. Its description in RNAcentral is "bacterial SSU rRNA". It matches the Rfam family "Bacterial small subunit ribosomal RNA", at positions 26 to 802 of the family's 1533-position model. The record is from RNAcentral. Lineage: Bacteria; Bacillati; Actinomycetota; Actinomycetes; Micrococcales; Microbacteriaceae.
AGGAUGAACGCUGGCGGCGUGCUUAACACAUGCAAGUCGAACGGUGAAGCCCAGCUUGCUGGGUGGAUCAGUGGCGAACGGGUGAGUAACACGUGAGCAACCUGCCCCUGACUCUGGGAUAAGCGCUGGAAACGGCGUCUAAUACUGGAUACGAGUAGCGACCGCAUGGUCAGUUACUGGAAAGAUUUAUUGGUUGGGGAUGGGCUCGCGGCCUAUCAGCUUGUUGGUGAGGUAAUGGCUCACCAAGGCGUCGACGGGUAGCCGGCCUGAGAGGGUGACCGGCCACACUGGGACUGAGACACGGCCCAGACUCCUACGGGAGGCAGCAGUGGGGAAUAUUGCACAAUGGGCGCAAGCCUGAUGCAGCAACGCCGCGUGAGGGAUGACGGCCUUCGGGUUGUAAACCUCUUUUAGCAGGGAAGAAGCGAAAGUGACGGUACCUGCAGAAAAAGCGCCGGCUAACUACGUGCCAGCAGCCGCGGUAAUACGUAGGGCGCAAGCGUUAUCCGGAAUUAUUGGGCGUAAAGAGCUCGUAGGCGGUUUGUCGCGUCUGCUGUGAAAUCCGGAGGCUCAACCUCCGGCCUGCAGUGGGUACGGGCAGACUAGAGUGCGGUAGGGGAGAUUGGAAUUCCUGGUGUAGCGGUGGAAUGCGCAGAUAUCAGGAGGAACACCGAUGGCGAAGGCAGAUCUCUGGGCCGUAACUGACGCUGAGGAGCGAAAGGGUGGGGAGCAAACAGGCUUAGAUACCCUGGUAGUCCACCCCG